This 253-nucleotide ribosomal RNA is filed under the name uncultured bacterium. Its description in RNAcentral is "partial 16S ribosomal RNA". It matches the Rfam family "Bacterial small subunit ribosomal RNA", at positions 524 to 776 of the family's 1533-position model. The record is from RNAcentral.
UACGUAGGGGGCAAGCGUUGUCCGGAAUUACUGGGCGUAAAGAGUUCGUAGGCGGUUUGUCGCGUCGGAUGUGAAAACCCAGGGCUCAACCUUGGGCCUGCAUUCGAUACGGGCAGACUAGAGUUCAGUAGGGGAGACUGGAAUUCCUGGUGUAGCGGUGAAAUGCGCAGAUAUCAGGAGGAACACCGAUGGCGAAGGCAGGUCUCUGGGCCAAAACUGACGCUGAGGAGCGAAAGCGUGGGGAGCAAACAGG